RNAcentral lists this ribosomal RNA (198 nucleotides) under uncultured bacterium. RNAcentral's name for it is "partial 16S ribosomal RNA". It matches the Rfam family "Bacterial small subunit ribosomal RNA", at positions 1303 to 1500 of the family's 1533-position model. The record is from RNAcentral.
GGCUGAAAUUACGCCUUCAUGAAGCUGGAAUUGCUGUAAUGGCAGGUCAGCAUACUGCCGUGAAUACGUCCCCGGGCCCUUGUACACACCGCCCGUCACACCAUGAGAGUUGGGAAUACCCGAAGCCUGUGAGCUAACUUAUAGAGGCAGCAGUCGAAGGUAGAAUCAAUGAUUGGGGUGAAGUCGUAACAAGGUAAC